AGUGAUUAGAGUGAUAAGAAGGACUCAAUCCACCAUUGAUGGUUUUGAAGAUGGAGAAAGGAAGCCACAAAUGAAGCAUCAGAUUGAUCAAGUUAAUUUACUUGUCUAGAUGGCAUCCUGUGUAACUGGGGUUAAGCAUUACUCUCUGAAACUCAUGGCAUCAGUUUCCUCUUAGGCUCUUCCAACAGAGUAUAAUCAUGUUCAUUUCAGUUUACAAUCCUUGCAGUCCCAUCGAUUUGUGAGAUUAUACCCAGGUCAUCCACAGUGGAGGUCUGAAAAUGUUCUUAGUUGUACUCUAAUUUCACUAACUGCCAAAAGGUUUUCCAGAAUAAUCUCAGUUGCUUCAUUCCUUUAAAGGUGAAGCCCAAAGAACGCAUGGCGAUUACUUUAGAGGAACAAUUAGCAGCAGAGGCAGGGCUGUGCUGAUCCCAUCUGGCAUCGCUGGGAGCUAACACACAUUAAAGACAUGGCACUUUGGGUCCGGGUCCAGGUCCUGGUUCAGAGCAGCUGCCACACCGUGGCUACUAGAGGAUCCUUUUCCGGCUUUGGAAACUGAGGCUGACUGCACCAUUUACAGAAAUUUCAUCAUGAAGAUCCUUACACUUAACACCUUAAGGUGAUGAGUUUUCACAUGACUGUUUUCAAGGCCACAGCCAACACCUUUAAUCAUCAUCACUAAAGGCCUGAGACUGCUCUCCGUGCUCAACACCGACGGGAGCGGCCAUGUCUUCCAGCCACACGGCAGGCUGGAGUGAAGUGGUACAAUCUUGGCUCACUGCAACCUCCACCUCCCGGGCUCAAGCAAUUCUCCUGGCUCAGCCUCCUGAGUGGCGUACCUUCUUUAGUAGAGACUGGGUUUCACCAUGUUGGCCAGGAUGGUCUCUAUCUCCUGACCUUGUGAUCUGCCUGCCUCAGCUUCCCAAAGUGCUGAGAUUACAGGCGUGAGCCAUCAGACCCAGCAUUUUUUUUUUAAUUUAAAUUUAAAUUUUUUUCAUUUUUUUGAAAGGUUUUUUUGUUUUUUUUUGUUGUUGUUGUUGUUGUUGUUUUUGAGACAGUCUUGCUCUGUCACCCAGGCUGGUAGUGCAGUGGCAUGAUCUCUGCAACCUCUACCUCCCAGGUUCAAGCAAUUCUUGUGCCGCAGCCUCCCAAGUAACUGGGACUACAGGUGCACGCUACCACACCUGGCUGAUUUUUUAUGUUUUAGUAGAGACAGGGUUUCAACCAUGUUGCCCAGGUUGGUCUCAAACUCCUGAGCUCAGGCGAGGCCUUCCCAGCCACGUGGAACUGUAAGUCCAAUAAACCUCUUUUGUAAAUUAAAAAAAAAAAAAAUCACUAUUUAAAUACUAGGAUGGAUUGUGACUGUUGAGGAGUACUUACAUAUCCUACAUUUGACUACAAUCCUUCCAAACCAAGUAUUCUAUCCAAAGGAACAUACUGCUAUCAUGGAGACCAAGGAGGGACUGUUUAAGGUUGCCAAGGUGAAGCGAGCUGAAAGGCUUUGUCCUCGUGCCAGCAACUCUGAAAUCUCUCUUAAUUCCUGCUGUCCAGGCAGCAGAAUGCCAUGGUUUCCCCAAGUAGGUAGCUGCUUUAGCAAUUAAAGCCCAAAUGUCUGUUCUGUUGAUCAGAGGUCUCUGAAUUUCUGAAAUGGUGUUUCGUUUCUGGUGACUGAGUUAAUCCUUUACAAUCCCUCUUGUAAAGUGUGCUAAUAGAAAGAAUCCACCUUUCAAAGCUGCAGAACCAGACCGUGCCCUAAAUUGACCAACGUAACUGAUGUGCCUCGGGAAGUCUCUUGCCAGCUGUCCCUGUGAAGACCCCCCUCCUCCCCCCCAGCUGCUGCCUUGCACACUGAAGCAUCUCAGACUGCAAAGCCAUGUAGUCAUCAAGUCAGUAAAUCCCAGGGCUUGGUUAAGUGCUGUGUGAUAACUUGUUUGGAUGAGACUUAACUUAAAACCACUUACAAUAAAAUUGGGAAACUACCGUCAAAAAAAAAAAAAU
Molecule: long non-coding RNA, 1995 nt
Filed under: Homo sapiens (human)
Lineage: Eukaryota; Metazoa; Chordata; Mammalia; Primates; Hominidae
Description: non-protein coding lnc-CYLC2-4:1
Source: RNAcentral